Molecule: long non-coding RNA, 1895 nt
Organism: Bos taurus (domestic cattle)
Lineage: Eukaryota; Metazoa; Chordata; Mammalia; Artiodactyla; Bovidae
Source: Ensembl
CUGGAGGAGGAAAUGGCAACCCACUCCAGUAUUCUUGCUGGGAAAAUCUGUCCUUGGGGGGAACAUCCUAUAGGCGCCUGGCAAGCUACAGUCCAUGGGGUCUCAGAGAGUCAGACACGACUGAGUAUGCAAUGCAUGCUUGAGAUACUGAAGCAAUUAUUACCUCCAUUUUACAGAUGAGCAAACUGAGGUCCACAGUGGUUAAGGCUCUUGGCCAUGAUUACCCUGGGAGUACAUGGCUUAUCCUGGAAUGUGAACAGGUCUUUCCACCUGGUGCCUGAACUCCUGAUGACUACCUCUAACCACCCCUCUUAGGUCUUACAUGCCACUCAGACAGCCAGGGGCGGGAUGGCUUCCAUCACCCACCAAAGUGCAUCUGCCUAGCUGCCCUUGGCUGGCAAACCUCUCCUCAAUCUGACCCAAAGUUACCUUUUUCCUUUGUUACCUCCCCUGCGUCCCUAGGGCUGCUGCUGCCACAGCCCAGCAGGCAGGAGGCCAGAUCCAGGCUGUGAUACAGAGAGAGAGAGAGAGUCCCUGUGAGCUGGAGUCCCAGCCUGGGGCGUCACAGCAGGAGACCUCGAAGCCUGGCCAAGCUCUGUGAGACUGUGAUCAAAGCCGGCGGGUGGGGGGGCAGAGCAACAAGGAACAGAAUUUCAGCUGCAGUCCUGCCCUUCUGGCAGCUUCUGGCCACCACGAGAGAAUCGGCAUCACCAUGUCCAGCUGAUGUCCUUCCAGAUCACGGCAAAGGAAUGUGAAGUAUCAGUCAGCCCAAGUGAUCUUUUCGGGAGCAUCUUCCUCAUGUCAUGAGACUCUUAGAAAUUGCAAAAGUGCUUAGGAGUCUACAGAAAAAUCUCAGCCAACCCUGUGGCUCUGAGAUCCCGGUCCUGUGCAUCCUUGCCCCUGCCAGGUUACCUGAAGAAUGGCAGGUCUUUAUCUGUCUCUUCUGACUGCAGUAGCUCACUGCAGACCACCCACGGACCAGGCUCCGCACUGAGACCAAUUAGGGCAGAAUAGUACAACUUCCAAGGUGUUCACUUGGUUCUGGCCCCAGAAACACAUAGAGUGGGCACACGAGCCUCUCUGUGACUGUGCAAAGCAAGUCCAGAUGGCACGAGAUGCCAAGAAAUCCUGGGGUUACCCCUUGGGGUGCCCCCUCCAAGGGCAGGCACAGCCCAGGCCUGGUACACUUCCGGAUGGCUGUCUGAAUGAGCCCAGAACCACCAGCCUGUAAAGAAAACACAGUGAAUUGCUGUUAGAUCAUGUCAACUUUAAUGUGCUCCCAUAGUAUUAAAAACACAUCUGCAAGGAAAUUUUUGACUCUUCAAAGGCUCCCUACAGGCAAAAAUUUCCCUUAAGCCUCAUUCAGGAGGAAGACAGAGAAGAAGACAUCAUGAAGUUUGAGCGAGAUAUUGGGACAAAUCUGAAGUCAACCAGAGAGAUGUGGGUGGAGAGACCAGGACCAGAGGCUCAUUACUCACACCAGGUUUCUGCCAGAGGAUACAGAUGGGGACCAUGUGCCCAAGGAGACUAUCCAGAAGUUAAGAGCAGGACGGCUCCAUACAGUUGGGCAGGUUGUGCAAGGCAGCAGGGCACCCUCCCCUCCCCAGCAAGGAGGUGCCAAUCACCUCUUAGAUAUGGUAGAUUUAUAUAUUUAUUCUCUAGACUGGGAUAAAAUGUCUAAUAAUCGACGUAUUAUAACACUUUUCCAACAGAUAGAAGUAACAUGUCUUGGGGAAGAAGCCCCUCUUUCUAAUCUGCCCGGAGGUGCUCUGUGACUUGUGAUAACCCUGAGAGAAGUUACUCUUAUUUGGGAAGCCUGGGCAGUGUUUGGAUAUUGGUGUAUAUGGCAGAUUCCAUGUUUGUCACACAGAUGCCAAGCUCAACUUCAUGUAAUC